GAGUGUGCAGUCAGACAACACGCAGAAAACCAGAGGUUCCUGGUGACUGAACUUUUGUGUAUGGAAAGAACUGCAAUGGAAGUUGUAGACAGCAGUGAGGCCAUGUUUUAGCCUCUUUUGUUCUCCAAACUAGAAAAUCCAAGUGUACUCAGCCUGUCCUCACAGGACAUGAACAGCUGUUUUAAUAUAACAUUUUACAUUCAAAGUUCAUCUUGUAUCUCAGGAGCCCCCAGAAAAUAAAAUGUGGUCUGCAGUUCACUUAUGAACAGUUCAGUUUGAAGAUCUUCAGUUCACCACGUGAUAUUGUUUCUGUUCCAGAUGAUUUAUGGGAUGGUAUGUACCUAACAAAUGUAGCAUGAAAUAUGAACACUAUGAAUCUUGUAUAUGACUGGAAAUAACUUCUUGGUAAAUAUGAGAAUUCUUGAAAUUCAGGGAAGAUUGCAACUGACUUUUGGACUGCUAAAGUCAAACAAGAGGAUGAAUCAUUCCCUUUAAAGUGCUCAACUCCCUUGUUUUUGCAUACAUGGGAAAACAGAUUGCUUACUUUGUACACAUUUUGGUACAAACAACAUUUUGAGCAAGCAAACACCGGUCUAUCUUCCUGUAGGUAAUUGGAGUCAGCAAGCUGCCAAUGUCAUCUCAAAGUUCUCCAAAGCUCUGCACUGUUUCUCCUGUGAGAGCCCAUUUAGAGACACUAAUCAGCCUCUGUCAGUAGCAAGCCAAAUGAGAGAAAACACACUAUAUGCAUAGAACAGAGGGGAAAAAAAAAUAGAGUGAAAGUGGAAAAUAUUGUUAAUAAGAAAUAAUACACCACAGGGCACUGAGAGCAGAUUUUAUUCUUUUUAAAAUUGACCCACAGCCCACAUAUGCUAGUGGGAUUCUUUGUUUUAGUUUUAAUGUAUUUGGGUUGAAAUCCUUGGAGGAAAAUCUAGAAAGAGACAAUUCUAUGGAAGAAGGGGAGAACAACCUACUAACCAUAGAGAGUAAAGACAUUUGAGUCACCUGCUUUUCCCCAGACUUACUUAGAUCAUGAGGCUACAACUUUAUGUAGACAACAUAGUACAGUAUAGACACUAAUGAGCUACGUGAGUGCUGUAACUGUGAAACAUGGCAACAGCACCAGGCUGUUACAUGAGUCAGUCAGCAUUAUAUCAGACUGCCACUCUUCUGCUUUCAGAAUCAUGAUACUUGCUCCAUGCAAACACUGUUAUGUCAUAUAGGCAUACAACUUGUCUGCUAAUCUCAGACACUUCCAGACCAGGAUAAAUGUAUCUUUCAGUGACAAAGAAAGAUAAAAAAGGAGAACAAGUUUACAGCUGGUUUGGUAACCUUACUUCAACAAGAUAUGAUUGGGCACACAAUUCAGUGGGAGUCAAAGAGAAGUUCAUUUCUCUUAUCAGAUUUCACUUUCAGGCUCAGAAGGGGAAAGGAAGAUUUCAGUAGAGAACUUCAAACAGAUUUGACAUAUAUCUCCAAAUUCUUGAGAUGAAUCUAUUUGCAGCUGUUUCAGGUACUAAAAUAGAGGCAUGAAUCAGGGUAUAUUUGGAAGAGUGGAUAUACUUGGUAAUAGAUUCUAAAUAGAGGCCAUAGAGGUUAUCAGAGGUUAAUCACAAGGAAGAUUUAGAUUAAGGCUAUCAAAUAAAAAAAUAUGCUUUGUAGGCUGACCUUGCAAUAGUAUAGAAAGAAUUAAAUGCAUUUAAAAAAAUAUAUAAAAUCUUUCCAACAGAAUCUGACCAUUUAGCGUUUAAGUUUAAUAUCAAUGUACAUAAAGGUUGUUUUAUAGACAGGCUGUUACAUUUUGUCAUUUCAAACUCAUUAAAGAAUGGACUUUUGUCAAAAUGGCAAAAAUGAUGAUAACAAAAAAAAUGCACAAUCCAUUCACUGACAGAAAAAUGGGCAGUACACAUAUGUAUCAAUUAAAGGCUUCAUAUGUUUAAAAAUUGAUAGAAUAAAAUAACAUACUUGAUUAAUAUCAAAACACAAAGGAAAAGUGUAUUUGAUGUCUAGACGAAGAUAACAGGUUUGGGCCAGAAAAAUGGUAUACAGUAGUACAGGGUAUUGUUCUUUGAUAAAAUGCAUAAAUGAUGCACCUUCUCAUACCUUCUCAUAAAUUUGGAUUUAUUUCUUCCCUUCAAUCCAAAUCCCAUGAUAUUUCUGAGAAAACUGUGUAUUUUCUUUCAUCUUGCUAUGUCUUAGCAGUCAAAGGUAUAAGUGACUUCAUCAACAAACUAAAUGCAAUUCAGAAUAUAUCAAUCUGCAAUAACUUUUCCAAUUGAUCUGACAAAGCAGAACUUUAGUUUUAAGAGAGCCUAAGGAUCUAAAGAGAGCUGUAGUUGAAUCCGCCAUCAUUCUGUGUCUGUUUGCCUUGCCUCAGUUUCAGAGAGAUUUAAAAUUCGGAGAUUUAUUUAAAUUUUGCAACUCAGAUGCCAACUGUUAAUUCUCACUGUGUUCUUUCAUUAUUAUUCUUUUACUGUGUCAUCCUUCUUUGUCGAUGCUGUGUUCUACAAUUCUGCGGUAGCUUAAGACAAUCCAUUGACUAUUAAUGAAAUUAGCUCUUUAGUAUGUGCUUGUAUUACUCGUUUCUGCAAUAGUUAAAAUCAAAGCACAGGCACUGUAGGCCAAAUGUAGAAGAUUCUCAGUGUUGUUAGCAAGGCUAUUACCUGUUUUCUCAAGAAGAUACCUUGACAAAUGAGGAGUUCAUCUGUCAGUGACCAGCAGUAACACUGCCUUUUGUAACUUGCUUGAACUCAGAACAAGAGGUCACUCAUCACUCUCUCUGACCAUUUGUGCAAAGCAAAUAAGAAGCAUGAUUUCGGAAGUAAAUCUUUAGCAACUGUCACAUAUUUCCCUUCUUCUGUUGAUGUUAGCAAAGGAACAUGUAUAGAUACUUUAUCAUGCUAAGCUAACAUGAUCACCAAGCUGUGACUAUAUAAUGAUUUAUUAGGGAUAGAGAAUAUUCAGACAACUUUAUUAUACUUUUUUUCCCACCAUUGGGUGGAGUUGGAUAUUAAAGUGAUUAGUUUGAGCAUAAGAAUGACAGAAUUUAUCCCUAUACAAAUUAAUUUUCAAAUGCUUAUAGGUAAAUGUAGAUUUGUAUGGGGGAGAAAGCAGAGCACUCCUACAUUUUGUUUUACUGUGAUUUGACACUUGUCAUAAUAAAGCUUAUUUAUAUAGUUAAAAUUAUCCAUAAAACCCUUCUUGCUCUUUUCUACAAAUGUCAUGUAUUUGUAUCUCAACUCCCCACAGAAAUACUUCCUAACUGAGACCUGUCUAUACAUAUUUAGAAUAUUAAAGUCCCUGCUUAAGAGUUUAAUGGUAAAGUUAAGUGCUGUAAAUGAGUGCCACUUAAUUGACUUCCAUGUAUACUUCCUCAUACAAGAUCUCUCCUGGUAUACCAGGGUAGAAUUUGUCCCAGUGGAUGUAUGCUGCAAUAUAAAUUCUUGGAUAUUUAAAUAAGUGCUGUGGGAUGAUGUAAUCUAAGAUACACCAUAAAUUCAAUAAAUUACACUUACCACAUACACUAUAUAGAAGAGAAGCAAUUAUUUUUAAAAAGAUACCAAUAGAUUUAUCAGAAAAGCAGGCAUGUGUGAGUGGACAGGACUUCAAGCACUAAAAAUAGCAAACCUCUGACCAAAGGUAUAAAAGCCUUAUAUCUUGUUCAAAAUUUUAUUGAGAUCUAUCUUUAAAGGAAGAAUUCUUUUCUGCUAUUGCUGUCACUGGAUAAAACAUUACCUUUUUAGAGGUUAGAAAAAAUGUUUUCUGGGCUGGUUCUACAUUAGGCCUAUAUCAAAAUUCAGAGGCUAAUCAGACAGUUUUUUCAGCUUUUAGUGUAUGCUCUCAAAAGAUUUUGAAUUUUAUGUACCAUACGUAGCGCUAAGAAACCACAGUGCUGGAAUUUGUUUAAUGUUUCAAUGAGCUUUGUUAAAAAUCCCCAAACCUACAAGCCUCACACUUUAGAAUUAAUUUUAAAUACAGCCUCCUAAAGCUAUGCAGGCUCCAUGUAAUUUUCAGAGCUCACUUAUUUCAUCCAUGAUUUAAGAUGCCUUGUUUUGAUUUAAGAAAAAUAAAAUAAGUUUGAAGACCUCUCCUCCCUGGAAAUCAUAUUUUCCAUGGAGUGAAAUUUACCAUAUUAAAUCCAUCUACACAUUCAGACUUUUGAAUCCAAUUGAAUAUUCAAGAUUUAUUUUGUGACAGAAUAAUAGAAACAGAGGAAAGGUAAACAUUACUAAGGAAAGACAAUCAUUUUCUGACUAAUACUUGGAAUGACGUUCACACAUGAGAAUAGACUACUUGCAGGGCAAAGAUAGGAAUGGCUUUAUGAAUUUGAAAGGAUAGAGUGUUUGUUGUUUUUGUUGUUUUGUUUUGUUUUGUUUUUAAUGGAGCCCAUUUGUGUAUCCCUUUAAGUGGGUUCUCAACUAAUAAGCGUUUUCCAGUUCAAAGUACAAAAAGCUUUUGUUUGUGUGGUCAAUAAUUUUAGCUUGUUUUUGUUUUGAUUGCAAUAGUCUUGAAAAAAAAUGAUUCAAAGAUUUUUUCCAUUAUUUUCUUUUUUGUCCUUUUUUUUUUUUUUUAACCUAAAUGUCUCUUAUUUGUACGCUUAUCCUUCUCACACAACAUCUUUAAAAAUCUUAAGACUGUUUGGAUAGUUGUUUGUUGAAAAAACAUCCUGUUUUUAAUUUUUAUUUCAUUACCAGAAAUGUUAUUUCAUAACUACUUGUGAAUUUUUGGAAACAGCCUAGGUGUUGAAUUUUGAGAAUAGUCCUGAUUCCUCCAAAUACCCAAAGCUAGUCACUUGGCUGCCAUUGAAAAAUCAAUCUUUCACUAGGUUUUAAUUGCCCAAAUAAUUUUAAAGAUGCAUAGUUUUGUCUUUGUUUAUUAUUAUAGCCUCCAAAGUCAAAUGUAUGCAGUUCUCACUGAUGUUAGAGUAGCUGUGUGCUGAAAUGGCAGAUGUUUUACGUAUGUAAACAUUCAUUAUGGUAUAUUUUUCUCUCUAAUGAUUUAUGAAAUCUACUUUCAGAAUCUUAAUCCUCUUGAACUAGAGACAUAUUUUGUUCCUUUUCUGAAGCAGUGUGAAUAUAUUAGGCAAGAUAUCAGAACAAGUCUGUAAAGUGUUAUGGAGAAGGAAAGAAGAAACUGACGCAAGGCAAUAACUGCAUACAUCAAAUUUAUUCGCUGAAGAAAAGAUGAAAUGACCAUCAGAACAAUUUCUCUGUUGAACUUCCUUAACAGCCAAAAAACAUGAUUUCAGGCAAACGAUGUGGAAGAGCUAUCAGCAUAGAACAGGACAGAGGCAAUCAUGGUUUUCAGAAAUAGAACAGUCAGAUUAUUCAUGUUCAGUGUAAAAUUAUGAUUAAUAUCUUAAUAUUGCAUAAAAUGAGGACAUCUUUAUGAUAGAGGGAGUGACUCAUGGUGAUUUUUGUUUGCUUCCUUAAUCUAUCCAUUUAUGCUGAUUCAUCCUACUUUUUGAAUCUAACCCUUCAAAUUUUACGGGUAUCAUUACAGGAAAUGUUAUGGGAAACAUUUUGUUAAUUAGAAUGAAAAAUGAACUUCAAAGUCCAAAUUCAGGUAGAAAAAAAUAAUGAUCAUUGCUAAGGAAUCUAGAAUCAUUUAGUAUAAGCAGAAAACAAAAAAUAAGCAAUGUAGUAUAUAUACCUAACUAUUACCACACAUAGCAUAGUAUUACAUCAACAGUCCUGUUAAAGAUUCAUUAGUGUUUCAUCACCAGUAGUUGACAUGCCAUGUUGAAGUUGCAUGAAUGUCAAUGGUAAGAUGAAAUGGAUAUACCAUGAGGUGAAUAUGUCUUUUAUUCUUAUCCAGAAACUAGAACCAAUUAGUUUUAAAUUGAGUAGAACUACUUUACAAAUACCUAUUUAACAGAAUUUUCUUUUCCUUCUAAUUAAUUCCAAGCCCUGCAAGCUGAAUAAGAUAAAAGUAAAAGUAAAAACCGUGGUUUUGCUAGCUGUCUGUAGGUUCCAUUUCUUUGUUUCUGGGUCUGAUUCUGACUCUACUGUAGUUGCUUUUACAACAAAACCAGAUAAAAGAGUUCAAGGCAAUCACUGAAAACUACUAAAAGCCAGCAACCUCUAAAAAUAUAGAUGCUUCCCUAAUCUGUGUUUUCCUGAACAAUUAAUUAAUAUAGGCCACAUUACAUGCCAUACCAACAGAGGAACAGGAAGCAUUCAGAACUGUAUUUGUACUGUUAAAUGUCAGGGAAAGCAUUUCCUUAUGUGGAAGAAUGUAACCUCUAUAUCCUUCCUAUUCUGUCAUAUAUGUAUCUCCUCCCUUUAACAACAGAAAUUAGUUUUCCCCUGUUUCAGAAUAGCACGGUACUGCUCCCUAUGAUCAUUUCUGAAGUGGCGGCAAUUUGCAAAAUAGGCCUGCUAAGAAGUCAGGAGGAAAAAGCCAGAACAGUUGAUCCAAAAUGACCAAAGGACUAUUCCACACCAUAUGACAUCAUUCUGGGCAAUAAAAGCUGUGUUAAAGAAGCUGUGUUAAAGAAGGAGGAAGAGGAGCGCAUUUGGAGUGAUGACAUUUGACUCCCCAAGAAAAUAAAGUGUUACGUGUGGUGAGCCCUACUCUCCCAGAAGUGGCUGAACACCAGCCUGUCAAUGGAAGUAAUAAAUUAUUUCUUUUUUUCUUGCUUUGCUUAUGUAUGUGGAUUUUGCUUUAGUAAACUUCUCUAGUAAACUUCUCUUGUCUAUCCCAGCUGGGGAGAAUGAGUGAACAGUUGUGCUGAGCUGCCUGCUGGAUGUAAAACACAACAAGAAAAGCUUUCUAGCACUGUAUCUAGACAUCUUUGCUAGGAGAUAUGAGCAUAAAAUCUACUUGAUAUGUUUCAUGCAAAACAACAGUAUUAAUCUUGAGUGAGAUCACAAGGCAUGUGCGGGACCACCAGGGGAUCAGGCCUAGCCAGCAUGGAUUCACAAAAGGCAGGUCCUGCCUGACCAACAUAAUCUCCCUCUAUGAUCAAGUGACUCACUUCCUUGUGAGUCACUUGGUGGAUGUAGUCUGCCUAAACUUCAAUAAAACCUUUGACGCUGUCUCUGAGAGUGUUCCUUUGGAGAAGCUGUCAGCCUGUGGUUUGGAAAGCUACAUUCUUUGCCUUAUAAAGAACUGGAUGGAGGGCUGGGUCGAGAGAGUGAUGGUGAAUGGAAUUAAAGCCAGUUGGUGACCGGUGACAAGUGGUGUUCCCCAGGAGAUGGUAUUGAGGCCUGUCUUGUCAUCUUUAUUGAUGACAUGGAUGAAGGGAUUGAGUUUACCCUCAGUAAGUUUGCAGAUGACACCAAGUUGGGAAGAAGUGUCAAUCUGCCUGGGUUAGGAAGGCUCUUCAAAGGAAUCUGGGCAGGCUGGAUCACUGGGCUCAGGCCAGUCGGAUGAAGUUCAACAAGAUCAAGUUCUGGGUCCUUCACUUUGGCCACAUUUACCCCAGGCAAAGUUACAGGUUUGGGGCAGAGUGGCUGGAAGCCUGUGUGGAAGAAAUGGAUCUGGGGAUGUUGGUCGAUGCUUAGCUAAACAUGAGCCUGCAGUGUGACCAGGUAGCUAAGAAGGUCAAUGGCAUCCUGACUUGUAUCAGAAAUAGUGUUGCCAGAAGGAGGGGGGAGGUGAUCAUCCCUCUGUACUCAGUUCUGGUGAGGUCACACCUUGAGUAUGGAGUUCAGUUUUGGGCUCCUCACUACGUGAAAGACAUCAAGACCCCAGAUUGUGUCCAGGGAAGGGCAAGGAAGUUGGUGAGGUGUCUAGGGCACAAGUCUUAUGGAGACCUGCUGAGGGAACUUGGAUUGUUUUGUUUGGACAAAAGGAAAAAUUUCUUCUCCUAGAGUGGUCAGGCACUGGAACAGGCUGCACAGGGAAGUGUUUGAGUCACUGUCCCUGGAGGUGUUCAAGAAAUGUUUGGAUGUGGUACUAAGAGAAAUUGUUUACUGGGGAAAUAUUGGUGGUAGGUGAACAGCUGGACUGGAUGAUCUUGGAGAACUUUUUCAACCUUGUUGAUUCUAUGACUCUAUGAAAUUACAACCAAUUACCAGCAAAUAAGACAAGAGUAAAUUCUUUGCUUUUCCACAUUUAGAAAUUUCCAAUAGUUUUAAAUACUUCAAAGAACGAUAAGCUGUACAAUAUAUCAUGAAAGUUAUCAUAUGUAAGUUAAGUGGAAAGCAAAUUAUUAUUGGUGAGCAGUAUACCCGAUAGCCUGUAUUUUGUGCCUUCCCACAUCCUAUCCUUGAAUGUCUGGUUAAACUGGAAUAUACAGCGUGUGGAUGGCAAGCUGGACAUGAGCCAGUACUGUGUACUCACAGCCCAGAAUGCCAACACUAUCCUUGGCUGCAUGAAAAGAAGCAUGGCCAGCAGGUCAAGGGAUCCUGCCCCUCUGCUCUGUGCUGGUGAGACCUCUCCUGAGUACUGCAUCCAGAUGGGGAGUCCUCUUUACAGAUGAGACAUGGACCUGCUGGAGCGCAUCCAGAGGAGGGCCACAAAAGUGAUCCAAUGAAUGGAACAUCUCUCCUAUGAGAACAGGCUGAGACAGCUGGGGCUGCUCAGCCUAGAGAGGAAAAGACUCCAAAAAAAAAUCUGAUAGCAUCCUUUCAGUAUCUAAAGGGGGGCUGUAAGAAAGAAGGGUACAGACUUGUUAGCAGGGUCGGUGGUGAUAGAACUAGGGGAAAUGAUUUCCAACUUAAAGAGUGUAGAUGCAGGUUGGAUAUAAGAAAAAGUCUUUGACAGUGAGGGUGGUGAGGCACUGGAACAGUUUGCCCAGAGAUGUGGUGGAUACCUCAUCCCUGGAGACAUUCAAAGUCAGGCUGGACGGGGCUCUGUGCACCUGAUCUAACUAUAGGCAUCUCUGUUCAAUGCAGAGGAGCUGGACCAGAUGACCUUUAAACGUCCCUUCCAACUCUGAAGAUUCUCUGUUCUCUGAUUCUAAAUGCACGUUUCCUCCAAUUAGACAUAUUUUUUUCAUUAGAAUUGAUUAAUCUGUUCUUUAAAAUGGAGAUGUUUUUUAAGAUGUGCUUUCCUCACAUGUUAAUCUUUUUUCAACUUUAAAAAUGUAUGCAUAAUUUGCAGCAAGCAUGCAGAUCAGUAUUUUUAUAAAUGAAUUUCUUAAUAUAGUGAAAUAAUGCCAUUAUUUUUUCAACAUAUACGUGUAUUUUGAUGCAUAAGUGCUCACAAAUUCCCAAUUCCAUUUUUUUAUUUCAUGUCAGCCCUUUUAUAUUCAAACAGCUAUUGGAACAGAUGCAUAAAUCAGGCAUUUAUGCAUGAAGAAAUAUGACUUUCUAUUUUGCAAACAAGCAGAAAUAGUUCAAAACAAUAGGGAAAAACCACAAUGACUGUGUAAAUAAUGUAAACACCUCCUGGGAAAAGGAUAAAAAUUCAUUUAAAGAUUCUAGGUUAUGAUCUUCAUAAUAACCAAUCCAUUUAACUCUUGCCAACUCAAAUAUUAUAUGCUCUUUACAAUUCAGGUGGGGAAAAUCAAUUAGUUUCCUAAUGUUUAUGCUUCAUAACAGUUGCAGAAUUUCAACAAUGCUUCCGCACUUCUAAUCUCUCCAUCAGUUCAACCUCCAGUCCAAUGAACAUUCAGCUGCAAAGACAAAAGUUGGAUCAGCAGGGAUUUGAGAAGAAAUCUCCUACCUCAGCAUUACUGUUAUUCAGAGUAAUCGAGGCUAUUCUCUUUGUAAAAAAUUUCUUUGACAGCACUGACUAGCUUGAACUCUCUGAGUUCCUUGUGUGCAUAUAAUUAAGCUUCUGUUUUGCCCUUUUUUAAAAAAAAAAAAUGUCUUUGUGACAAUGGAUAACAAUGCUCUUCUCUGAUACACCCAUCAGAAGAGAAAAAUAUCUCUUUUAAGGUUUGAUUGACCCCUAAUAAAAGAACAGUUAUGUUUUGGGUAAUUGUAAGCUAUACAUGAAAUGAAGAGCUAUGCACCAGAUACUGCGUAUCAGAACACCUCUGAAAUUAGAGUAACUUCAUGAAUUUCUAAUUGUUUGUUAUGUAAACUCUCCAAGAAAAUGUGUUGGUUGUAUUCAUCUAAGAAAGAACAUUAAGUGAAUUAGUAGCUUCAAUAUACACAAAAACAUUAAAAAUAAUAAAUAAUAA
This is a long non-coding RNA of Gallus gallus (chicken), 10075 nucleotides long. RefSeq lists it as uncharacterized. NCBI's taxonomy places the organism in Eukaryota, Metazoa, Chordata, Aves, Galliformes, Phasianidae. The record is from RefSeq and is a predicted model, not a curated record. The transcript has 3 exons.